GUAGGUGGCAAGCGUUGUCCGGAAUUAUUGGGCGUAAAGCGCGCGCAGGCGGUUCGUUUAAGCCUGAUGUGAAAGCCCACGGGCUCAACCGUGGAGGGUCAUUGGAAACUGGAGAACUUGAGUACAGAAGAGGAAAGCGGAAUUCCACGUGUAGCGGUGAAAUGCGUAGAGAUGUGGAGGAACACCAGUGGCGAAGGCGGCUUUCUGGUCUGUAACUGACGCUGAGGCGCGAAAGCGUGGGGAGCAAACAGGAUUAGAUACCCUGGUAGUCCACGCCGUAAACGAUGAGUGCUAAGUGUUAGGGGGUUUCCGCCCCUUAGUGCUGCAGCUAACGCAUUAAGCACUCCGCCUGGGGAGUACGGCCGCAAGGCUG
Molecule: ribosomal RNA, 373 nt
Filed under: uncultured organism
Description: partial 16S ribosomal RNA
Rfam family: Bacterial small subunit ribosomal RNA
Source: RNAcentral